RNAcentral lists this unclassified non-coding RNA (331 nucleotides) under soil metagenome. RNAcentral's name for it is "partial contains 5.8S ribosomal RNA, internal transcribed spacer 2, and large subunit ribosomal RNA". The stretch from base 1 to 120 matches the Rfam family "5.8S ribosomal RNA", at positions 35 to 154 of the family's 154-position model. The record is from RNAcentral.
GAUGAAGAACGCAGCGAAAUGCGAUAAGUAAUGUGAAUUGCAGAAUUCAGUGAAUCAUCGAAUCUUUGAACGCACAUUGCGCCCCCUGGUAUUCCGGGGGGCAUGCCUGUUCGAGCGUCAUUUCACCACUCAAGCCUCGCUUGGUAUUGGGCAACGCGGUCCGCCGCGUGCCUCAAAUCGACCGGCUGGGUCUUCUGUCCCCUAAGCGUUGUGGAAACUAUUCGCUAAAGGGUGUUCGGGAGGCUACGCCGUAAAACAACCCCAUUUCUAAGGUUGACCUCGGAUCAGGUAGGGAUACCCGCUCAACUUAAGCAUAUCAAUAAGCGGAGGA